This 301-nucleotide ribosomal RNA is filed under the name uncultured bacterium. Its description in RNAcentral is "partial 16S ribosomal RNA". It matches the Rfam family "Bacterial small subunit ribosomal RNA", at positions 509 to 807 of the family's 1533-position model. The record is from RNAcentral.
CAGCCGCCGCGGUAAUACGUAGGGUGCAAGCGUUAAUCGGAAUUACUGGGCGUAAAGCGUGCGCAGGCGGUUAUAUAAGUCAGAUGUGAAAUCCCCGGGCUCAACCUGGGAACUGCAUCUGAGACUGUAUGGCUAGAGUGUGUCAGAGGGGGGUAGAAUUCCACGUGUAGCAGUGAAAUGCGUAGAUAUGUGGAGGAAUACCGAUGGCGAAGGCAGCCCCCUGGGAUAACACUGACGCUCAUGCACGAAAGCGUGGGGAGCAAACAGGAUUAGAUACCCCAGUAGUCCCUGUCUCUUAUAC